GGAUUAGAUACCCUGGUAGUCCACGCUGUAAACGAUGAUCACUUGCUAUUGGCGAUACACAGUCAGUGGCAUAGCGAAAGUGUUAAGUGAUCCACCUGGGGAGUACGAUCGCAAGGUUGAAACUCAAAGGAAUUGACGGGGGCCCGCACAAGCGGUGGAGCAUGUGGUUUAAUUCGAUGAUACGCGAGGAACCUUACCAGGGCUUAAAUGGGAAAUGACAGAUUUGGAAACAAGUCCUUCUUCGGACAUUUUUCAAGGUGCUGCAUGGUUGUCGUCAGCUCGUGUUG
Molecule: ribosomal RNA, 287 nt
Filed under: uncultured bacterium
Lineage: Bacteria
Description: partial 16S ribosomal RNA
Rfam family: Bacterial small subunit ribosomal RNA
Source: RNAcentral